This 361-nucleotide transfer-messenger RNA is filed under the name Aquibacillus salsiterrae. It matches the Rfam family "transfer-messenger RNA". Rfam says of the family: Bacterial tmRNA, also known as 10Sa RNA or SsrA, is named for its dual tRNA and mRNA-like properties. Its role is to liberate the mRNA from a stalled ribosome. To accomplish this part of the tmRNA is used as a reading frame that ends in a translation stop signal. The record is from Rfam by way of RNAcentral. Lineage: Bacteria; Bacillati; Bacillota; Bacilli; Caryophanales; Bacillaceae.
GGGGACGUUACGGAUUCGACAGGGGUAGGUCGAGCUCAGGUUGCGUGCCGAGGUUACGACUCGUAAAACGUUAACGCCAAUAAUAACUGGCAAAGAAAACAAUUACUCUUUAGCAGCUGCGUAAGUAGCACUAAAGGAUCCUUCCUACCAUCGCCCAUGUGGUAGAUAGAAGGGUCUCAAAUGAAGUGGGCUACGCUAUCGUCCUCCGCCUGAGGAUGGAUAGAAGAGAUUAAUCAGGCUAGCUGCUAGGAAGCCAGUUGGUAGGCUGAAUAGUAAGCGAAUGAUAAUAUAUCAACUAUGCAUGUAGACGCCUGAGUGCCGAUACCUCUGGACGUGGGUUCGAUUCCCACCGUCUCCACCA